This 292-nucleotide ribosomal RNA is filed under the name uncultured bacterium. Its description in RNAcentral is "partial 16S ribosomal RNA". It matches the Rfam family "Bacterial small subunit ribosomal RNA", at positions 505 to 796 of the family's 1533-position model. The record is from RNAcentral.
GUGUCAGCCGCCGCGGUAAUACGAGAGGCCCAAACGUUAUUCGGAUUUACUGGGCUUAAAGAGUUCGUAGGCGGCGCGGAAAGUAGGGUGUGAAAGCCCUCGGCUCAACCGAGGAAUUGCGCUCUAAACUGCCGUGCUUGAGGAACCUAGAGGUGAGCAGAACUGAUGGUGGAGCGGUGAAAUGCGUUGAUAUCAUCAGGAAUACCGGAGGCGAAGGCGGCUCACUGGGGGUUAUCUGACGCUGAGGAACGAAAGCCAGGGGAGCAAACGGGAUUAGAUACCCUCGUAGUCC